UUGUAUGCCGGAAGGGAUAAAUCUGGGGCUGAGUACAAGCAAAACAAGACCAAAGGAAGCUACCUGAGCAGGUAUUCCAGAUACUCAUGUCAUACACCAAGGUUGUACCAGUGCCCCUUUCUCUGUGACACAUCCAUCCACUGGAAACUUUCGUACAACUAGCUGAAAGAAGAGAAACAUCCUAUUUCAUGUCACUGGAGCCCUAAUGAUCGCAGCCAUUUCAGGAAAUGCCAUCAAUUACAGUGAGGAGCUCAUUCAGAAGUGAAAGAUGAGUUCCAUUCUCUGUUACUUAGAGAUGUCAAGGAACUUUCCUCCUGAUUGAUUUUCUACAUGCUUUAUCUCUCAUCCAUCUAGUCCCCAUUUUCUCCUUUCACUGAACACAAUUAUUUCUGGAAAGAGUAUUACACUCAGUAUUCUGCAUUUCAUAUGGCAUUUCAAAGUCCUGAGAAUGACUCUCCGUAGUCUUCUAUGUACUAAUUAAACAUGAACAUGUGGUAAACAACAUGGACUAUUCCAGUGGACAGAAAGCGUCAAGUUAAAAUGUUUAAGUGCCCCAUAUUUUUCUAAGUAUUCUUAUCCAGUUGGUCUGACUGGUCAUUAUCUGUUUUGUAAAACUUCCCAAACAACUCAUCAAUAUUUAAAUAGCUAUCCAAAUUAUAAACUUCAAAUAGCAGAAUCCAAAUGUCAUUUAUGCAUAAUUCAAAAGAACUUUGCUGAAAACAAUCUUUGGAUUACAAUUGCUCUCUAAUCCACCUCUUGAAUUUCUACAUAAGAAUUCAAUGCCAAUGCAAUUCAAAUCAAUUCAUUCAUGGUUGAUGUUAAAACUUCCUUUAAGAGGAUAGUAUGGCAGAAACAAAACUGAAUUUGAACAAGAGGGAAACUGCAGAAGAUAAACAUUUUUUCUGUAGAAAGUUUCCAACUUUUACAUUUUUGUGGUAAUUUUUAACAUUAUAGGUAUAAUUAAAUUAUCACUAAAGUUAUAUCUAUUAAUCCUAAGUGGUUUAAAAUAAUUUCUCUGUUCAAACUGAUGCAGCUCGCUAUUACAAUUUAAUAUAAUUUUUUCAAACUAUAAUUGAUUUCUAAGACUAGUAAAAUUUUUGAGCUACCAUUAACCCCAAAAUAUCUGGAAAAAGAAAAUCAUCAUAGGUAACUCCUGAUGACUCCUACCUCUUUCAGUCACAUACUUAGCAUUAUCUGCUGUACAGGUUUAAAGAAUGUUGGUCACAGGAUUGAAGUGAAUAUUUCAUUUAUGUGUAGCCAAAAUAUUAUCAUAUGAAGCCCAAAAGAAGAGUAAAAUACAUCCUUGUGAUAUUAUUAACAUGACUUUGUGCCAGACAAAGCAUAGUUACUCUACAGAUGGAUUAUGAAUAGAGAAAAAGUGUGUAGUUGAAUUCUUUGGAAUUAUGGACUAUAUUCCAUAAAUCCCAGAUGGAGUCACUAUGAUUAAUGUUACCUCAAUGAAUACAAAAUGAAUAAAUAAUUAUCCUCCACUUACUGUAAAG
Molecule: long non-coding RNA, 1502 nt
Filed under: Homo sapiens (human)
Lineage: Eukaryota; Metazoa; Chordata; Mammalia; Primates; Hominidae
Description: uncharacterized LOC105379109, transcript variant 2 (LOC105379109)
Source: RNAcentral